RNAcentral lists this non-coding RNA (66 nucleotides) under Gammaproteobacteria bacterium. The record is from RNAcentral. Lineage: Bacteria; Pseudomonadati; Pseudomonadota; Gammaproteobacteria.
AGUCGAAACACCUCUUCGGAGGUGUCUGUAGGGGCUGACCGCCCUGCACUGAUGAGACAGGUCACG